AACGCACAUUGCGCCCGCCAGCACUCUGGCGGGCAUGCCUGUCCGAGCGUCAUUUACCACCCUCGGGCCCCCUGGGGGGCCCGGUGCUGGGGGCACGGCCGAGGCCGCCCCCUAAAUGCAGUGGCGACCCCGCCGCGUCCUCCCCUGCGCAGUAGCACAAUCUCGCACCGGAAGCGCGGAGGCGGUCACGCCUGGAAACGCCCCAACUCAACGCAGUUGACCUCGGAUCAGGUAGGAGUACCCGCUGAACUUAA
RNAcentral lists this unclassified non-coding RNA (254 nucleotides) under Verticillium sp. Its description in RNAcentral is "partial contains 5.8S ribosomal RNA, internal transcribed spacer 2, and large subunit ribosomal RNA". RNAcentral also lists the same sequence under 1 other name. The record is from RNAcentral. Lineage: Eukaryota; Fungi; Ascomycota; Sordariomycetes; Glomerellales; Plectosphaerellaceae.